UUGUGGUUCAUGACUGGGGUGAAGUCGUAACAAGGUAGCGCUAGGGGAACCUGGCGCUGGAUCACCUCCUUACACGAUGAU
RNAcentral lists this ribosomal RNA (81 nucleotides) under Vibrio cholerae. RNAcentral describes it as "partial 16S ribosomal RNA". The stretch from base 1 to 72 matches the Rfam family "Bacterial small subunit ribosomal RNA", at positions 1462 to 1533 of the family's 1533-position model. The record is from RNAcentral. Lineage: Bacteria; Pseudomonadati; Pseudomonadota; Gammaproteobacteria; Vibrionales; Vibrionaceae.